RNAcentral lists this ribosomal RNA (257 nucleotides) under uncultured bacterium. RNAcentral describes it as "partial 16S ribosomal RNA". It matches the Rfam family "Bacterial small subunit ribosomal RNA", at positions 524 to 776 of the family's 1533-position model. The record is from RNAcentral.
UACGGGGGGGAGCAAGCGUUGUUCGGAUUUACUGGGCGUAAAGGGCGCGUAGGCGGCCACCGCAAGUCAAUUGUGAAAUCUCCGGGGCUUAACUCGGAAAGGUCAACUGAUACUGCGGGGCUAGAGUGCGGAAGGGGGCAACUGGAAUUCUCGGUGUAGCGGUGAAAUGCGUAGAUAUCGAGAGGAACACCUGCGGCGAAGGCGGGUUGCUGGGCUGAUACUGACGCUGAGGCGCGAAAGCCAGGGGAGCGAACGGG